GGGUUUGGCUUGGUGGUAGAGUGAAUGCCUGACAUGCGUGAGACCCUGGGUUCCAACCCCAGCAUGCCA
Molecule: transfer RNA, 69 nt
Filed under: Marmota monax (woodchuck)
Lineage: Eukaryota; Metazoa; Chordata; Mammalia; Rodentia; Sciuridae
Description: tRNA.Val
Source: RNAcentral